UAGUUUCUUCAUAGGAAAAUAUAAACUCUAGAUGGUGCAUAUAUUAAAUGUCCAUAUACUACUCAAUUAUAAUUAAGACCCGCAUGCACGAGGAUAGUAUUCGUUAUUACGGUAAUUGGACACAUACGUACAAAUAAUGGAAAUACAUUUCUUUACAAAAAAAAAAAAAAAUGUACAAGGAGGUUUAUCAUUUAUGGUAGGGUAAACCUUUUCGGUUAAUCAAUUAUGAGCUGAAUAUACAUUACAAAUUCUACGCAAUGAUGAGUUUCGUUUUAAAUUUAUAUUUUGGAAACAAAUUG
This 299-nucleotide long non-coding RNA is filed under the name Capsella rubella. RNAcentral describes it as "long non-coding RNA (CRUB_LNC004514)". Lineage: Eukaryota; Viridiplantae; Streptophyta; Magnoliopsida; Brassicales; Brassicaceae. The record is from RNAcentral.